Long non-coding RNA from Amphimedon queenslandica, 371 nucleotides. RefSeq lists it as uncharacterized. NCBI's taxonomy places the organism in Eukaryota, Metazoa, Porifera, Demospongiae, Haplosclerida, Niphatidae. The transcript is spliced from 4 exons. The record is from RefSeq and is a predicted model, not a curated record.
CUGGUUGUUCUUAUUUUGGUUGAUUUAUUGGGCAGUGACACAAGAGCCAGUUGGUGAAUCUGAGGAAUGGGAUCCAUUUAAAAUACUAGGAAUUGACAGGGGAGCUACUGUGUCUCAGAUCAAGAAGCAGUACAGGCUAUUAAGUAUGAUCCAUCAUCCUGAUAAAGGAGGGGACCCUGAGGUAUUCACUAAAAUAGCUAAAGCUUAUGAAGCUUUGACUCAAGAGGAGACUAGGGAGAACUGGGAGAAGUAUUGUAACCCUGAUGGACCUAGAGCUGCUUCAUUUGGUAUAGCACUGCUCUCUUGGAUUGUUGACAAGAAUAACUCGUUAUGGUUCUAGGUGCGUAUGUGUUGGUAUUUAAUUAUCGGAC